RNAcentral lists this ribosomal RNA (497 nucleotides) under uncultured bacterium. RNAcentral describes it as "partial 16S ribosomal RNA". It matches the Rfam family "Bacterial small subunit ribosomal RNA", at positions 28 to 507 of the family's 1533-position model. The record is from RNAcentral.
GAUGAACGCUGGCGGCGUGCCUAAUACAUGCAAGUCGAGCGAACAGACGAGGAGCUUGCUCCUCUGACGUUAGCGGCGGACGGGUGAGUAACACGUGGAUAACCUACCUAUAAGACUGGGAUAACUUCGGGAAACCGGAGCUAAUACCGGAUAACAUGUUGAACCGCAUGGUUCAACAGUGAAAGACGGUCUUGCUGUAACUUAUAGAUGGAUCCGCGCCGCAUUAGCUAGUUGGUAAGGUAACGGCUUACCAAGGCAACGAUGCGUAGCCGACCUGAGAGGGUGAUCGGCCACACUGGAACUGAGACACGGUCCAGACUCCUACGGGAGGCAGCAGUAGGGAAUCUUCCGCAAUGGGCGAAAGCCUGACGGAGCAACGCCGCGUGAGUGAAGAAGGUCUUCGGAUCGUAAAACUCUGUUAUGAGGGAAGAACAAAUGUGUAAGUAACUAUGCACGUCUUGACGGUACCUAAUCAGAAAGCCACGGCUAACUACGUG